GGUUAAGCGACUAAGCGUACACGGUGGAUGCCCUGGCAGUCAGAGGCGAUGAAGGACGUGCUAAUCUGCGAUAAGCGUCGGUAAGGUGAUAUGAACCGUUAUAACCGGCGAUUUCCGAAUGGGGAAACCCAGUGUGUUUCGACACACUAUCAUUAACUGAAUCCAUAGGUUAAUGAGGCGAACCGGGGGAACUGAAACAUCUAAGUACCCCGAGGAAAAGAAAUCAACCGAGAUUCCCCCAGUAGCGGCGAGCGAACGGGGAGCAGCCCAGAGCCUGAAUCAGUGUGGGUGUUAGUGGAAGCGUCUGGAAAGGCGCGCGAUACAGGGUGACAGCCCCGUACACAAAAAUGCACAUAUUGUGAGCUCGAUGAGUAGGGCGGGACACGUGGUAUCCUGUCUGAAUAUGGGGGGACCAUCCUCCAAGGCUAAAUACUCCUGACUGACCGAUAGUGAACCAGUACCGUGAGGGAAAGGCGAAAAGAACCCCGGCGAGGGGAGUGAAAAAGAACCUGAAACCGUGUACGUACAAGCAGUGGGAGCCUCUUUAUGGGGUGACUGCGUACCUUUUGUAUAAUGGGUCAGCGACUUAUAUUCUGUAGCAAGGUUAACCGAAUAGGGGAGCCGAAGGGAAACCGAGUCUUAACUGGGCGUUAAGUUGCAGGG
Molecule: ribosomal RNA, 663 nt
Filed under: Escherichia coli
Lineage: Bacteria; Pseudomonadati; Pseudomonadota; Gammaproteobacteria; Enterobacterales; Enterobacteriaceae
Description: bacterial LSU rRNA
Rfam family: Bacterial large subunit ribosomal RNA
Source: RNAcentral